Molecule: long non-coding RNA, 967 nt
Organism: Ceratitis capitata (Mediterranean fruit fly)
Lineage: Eukaryota; Metazoa; Arthropoda; Insecta; Diptera; Tephritidae
Exons: 2
Source: RefSeq, a predicted model, not a curated record
UUCGGAGGCGGCUUAGUAUAAACUAUAGGUCCCUCCAUUGGUUGGAAAAACAUCAAGAUUAGAUUAUUUAGUUAGAUCAGUUAUGCCGAUUUUUUCUAUAAAAUAUGCUUACGACGUGUCAAGCUUUCAGUUGUUUAUUAUUUUUUAGUAAGCGAUAAAACUUCUAUUUCAUUUUAUAGAUUUAAUUAUUUAAAAUAACGUAUUGCAGUUUUCACUUGCACCAAAGCUAAAACCAAUGCAUUAAUUUUUAUAAAACAAAAACAUAAUAAAUUUAUGUUUAUUCACUAACUCCACACAUUUGCGCUUGUAUUCCACCAACCAAGUUCCCGGCUGCGUCGGCCACGCUUCAAUGGAGCACUUGAAGAUGGCAUUAAAUGCACCGACAAACAACAAAAUUGUGUAUCACUUUUGGCAAACUACUAGCGGCUGCUUCGAAAAUUUCGAAUGGAACUACUGCAUAUAAAUUUGUGUGCUUCGCAUAUAUUUUAGUUAUUUACUAUCGGCUUUUUUGCGCAUUUGUAUGUAUGGAAAUGUGUAAGUCUGUGCUUACAUGGAUUUAAGAAUAUGGCAAUUUUACUUUUUUUACUUGUUAUACAAUUAUUGCCUUUUAUUAUACCAAGCAUUUUGCUGCAAAAGCGCAAAUGACUUUUGUCAUAUUAGCGCGUCAUCACCACGCCACGCAUCAAACACCAAAAAAUGUGUGCAAACACAUCCUUAUGCACAAAUACGCACACACACGCGAAUAUUUAGAAGGCACAACGGAAAUGGCAGAGAACCACUGACGGCAUAUUGAAGUGUUUUUGGCAACGGAACCGGCAAAUUUCAUAUGCGCACCCACAGUAAUGUUAUACAAUUGUAUAUAAAUAAAUAUGUAUGUACAUGCAAAUGUUCAUACAUGCAUACAUAUGCAUGUACUUGUAUGAUUUUUAAAUAAAUGAAUAUAGCCGAAAAGGUAACCGUUAACUAA